This 462-nucleotide ribosomal RNA is filed under the name Streptococcus mitis. RNAcentral describes it as "bacterial SSU rRNA". It matches the Rfam family "Bacterial small subunit ribosomal RNA", at positions 28 to 474 of the family's 1533-position model. Lineage: Bacteria; Bacillati; Bacillota; Bacilli; Lactobacillales; Streptococcaceae. The record is from RNAcentral.
GACGAACGCUGGCGGCGUGCCUAAUACAUGCAAGUAGAACGCUGAAGGAGGAGCUUGCUUCUCUGGAUGAGUUGCGAACGGGUGAGUAACGCGUAGGUAACCUGCCUGGUAGCGGGGGAUAACUAUUGGAAACGAUAGCUAAUACCGCAUAACAGUAGAUGUUGCAUGACAUUUGCUUAAAAGGUGCAAUUGCAUCACUACCAGAUGGACCUGCGUUGUAUUAGCUAGUUGGUGAGGUAACGGCUCACCAAGGCGACGAUACAUAGCCGACCUGAGAGGGUGAUCGGCCACACUGGGACUGAGACACGGCCCAGACUCCUACGGGAGGCAGCAGUAGGGAAUCUUCGGCAAUGGACGGAAGUCUGACCGAGCAACGCCGCGUGAGUGAAGAAGGUUUUCGGAUCGUAAAGCUCUGUUGUAAGAGAAGAACGAGUGUGAGAGUGGAAAGUUCACACUGUGACG